AUGAACGCUGGCGGCGCGCCUUACGCAUGCAAGUCGAACGCUCCGGUUUCGGCCGGAGAGUGGCGGACGGCUGAGUAACGCGUAGGCAACCUGUCCGGAGGUGGGGGAUAACCCUUCGAAAGAAGGGCUAAUACCGCAUAAGUUCCCAGGGUGAGAUCCCCUGGGAGCAAAGCCGCAAGGCGCCACCGGAGGGGCCUGCGUCCUAUCAGGUAGUUGGUGAGGUAACGGCCCACCAAGCCGAUGACGGGUAGCUGGUCUGAGGGGACGACCAGCCAGAAGGGGACUGAGACACGGCCCCUACUCCUACGGGAGGCAGCAGCGAGGGAUCUUGGGCAAUGGGCGAAAGCCUGACCCAGCGACGCCGCGUGGGGGAAGAAGGCCUUCGGGUUGUAAACCUCUUUUGUCGGGGAAGAAGAUCUGACGGUACCCGGCGAAUAAGCCACGGCUAACUACGU
RNAcentral lists this ribosomal RNA (455 nucleotides) under uncultured bacterium. RNAcentral describes it as "bacterial SSU rRNA". It matches the Rfam family "Bacterial small subunit ribosomal RNA", at positions 29 to 506 of the family's 1533-position model. The record is from RNAcentral.